RNAcentral lists this ribosomal RNA (498 nucleotides) under uncultured bacterium. RNAcentral describes it as "partial 16S ribosomal RNA". It matches the Rfam family "Bacterial small subunit ribosomal RNA", at positions 899 to 1397 of the family's 1533-position model. The record is from RNAcentral.
ACUCAAAGGAAUAGACGGGGGCCCGCACAAGCGGUGGAGCAUGUGGUUUAAUUCGACGCAACGCGAAGAACCUUACCUGGGUUUGACAUGUGCAGGACAGGUGAUGAAAGUCACCCUCCCUUCGGGGCCUGUACACAGGUGCUGCAUGGCUGUCGUCAGCUCGUGUCGUGAGAUGUUGGGUUAAGUCCCGCAACGAGCGCAACCCUCGCCCUCUGUUGCCAUCAGAUUAUGCUGGGCACUCUGAGGGGACUGCCCCGGUGAACGGGGAGGAAGGUGGGGAUGACGUCAAGUCCUCAUGGCCUUUAUGCCCAGGGCUACACACGUGCUACAAUGGUCAGGACAAUGAGUCGCUCCCUCGCAAGAGGCUGCCAAUCUCAAAAACCUGGCCCUAGUUCGGAUAGUCGGCUGCAACUCGCCGGCCUGAAGCUGGAAUCGCUAGUAAUCGGAGAUCAGCACGCUCCGGUGAAUACGUUCCCGGGCCUUGCACACACCGCCCGU